CCCUUGAAAGGCUGCCUUGGCAGGAAGUGUUGUCAGCAGCUAAUGUGCUUCCCCUUGAUGCCUCACUCUAGCUGCAUAGACUCAUGGUUUGAAGUGAACAGAUCUUGUCCAGAACACCCUGCUGAUUGACCCUUCUGGGCCUGCUUACGGACUCCUCUCAAAGGUGAGCCCAUACUUGGUGGGUGGGCUCUGGGCUAAGAGUCAAGUUUCUGGGAACUGGGGGAGAGGAGCUGGUCUGCCUGAUACACACCCUGUCAAGGAGAAAGCAGAAGCAGAAAGCCAGAAGCCAUCUAUCUCCUCAGGGAGCAGUCCCCAAGAAGUAGAGGGAUGUUCCUGAGAGUUGGGGGAACAUGAAAGAGAGAUAUUAAUAUACUCAUGAAGAACUCCAUGCAAAGGUAGAGUCAGGCCCCUUUCCCUCAGGAAAGGCAGAAAGGUCCCCUGCAGGGUGCAUGGGCUGAAGCAGAUGAGCCCCUAGCCAGGCUCUGCAGCUGUCUCCCCCUCCCUCCCCUCUCAGAGACUCGGUUCUGAAAGGGAAGAAUCACUGAACAGAUGACCUGUGGAAAGAUACUGUCCACUGCAAAGAGGUCGUCUGAGGUCUUUUCACUGCUUGUUCUCCCACCUGCUGGCUGCCUCACCCCACUUGUAGGGGAAUCUGAAAUCUGAGGGUUCCAGGCCACACUCAGUCCAUCUGUCCAUGGCACAGUAUCACAACAGCAGGCAACUCCCUCCUACACAUGCAUUUGUGUUUCUGUGUAACCAUUGGAUCUGACCUCCAUUUCUUCCCCCAGGGUACCUUGUUUAAACCGCCCCCAUCCUGUCCCCAACCCUAUCUGUGGCUUUGAGGACUGGUGGGCAUUCUCUCUCUCUCUUGUUUGUUUUAGUCCUGGCAAGUAGAACAUAAGCCCCUGAAAAACCAGUAGCCCAUUCCUACUUGAUCUCACAUCCAAAGGUUUGGGGGGAUCCCUUUUCUUCUCUCUCUCUUCUUUGUUGUGUUUUCUUUUGUUAGGUUUAUUUUAUUUAUUCCAAGUAAAUGCCCAGAACAGCUGACGGUGUCAGGCAAAUCAGGGACAUUGGCUCUUUUUACCCUCACCUCAAAAUCUGAUGACAAGCAAGGGAGAGUGAGGCAGAGGGAUUGGACCCCAGCUCCAGAGUGCAGGUCCAAAUUGCCGACAUGAUGUUUGGCUUCUGAUGGGCCUGCCUGGACUGAACCAGAUGCCCCAGCUGACCAGCCCGCCCUCAGGGGGUACACGCUGCUGCCACGGUGAGAUGGAGCGGCAGCGCAGCGCUCAUCGAGAUGGAGCAGGACUGACUUCUUCCGACCCACACAGGGACAGCCAGCCCCUGUUCCUGGGAGGAGGCUCCUCGGACACUGGACAGAGCUGAGCUUGGGACACCAGAGAGAACAGGGCACCCUUCUGCACUGGCUUCCAGAAAACGGUCCUCCCCGAGGACACCCAGUGGAUGAGAGCGAGUCUGAGAGAAGAAUGAAUUGACCUCUAUCCUUCCCCUCACCCUCGACCCAGGAGGGAAAGGGCAUUUUCUUUUUCACCUUUGAAAGGCGUUGUGGGUCUGUCUUUAAAAAGUGUUUACAAACAACAAAAAAUUCUAUAAAAAGUCUCGUGUCG
This 1625-nucleotide long non-coding RNA is filed under the name Rattus norvegicus (Norway rat). Its description in RNAcentral is "long non-coding RNA NONRATT014290". The record is from RNAcentral. Lineage: Eukaryota; Metazoa; Chordata; Mammalia; Rodentia; Muridae.